GCGAUAUACUCCUCAGAGCAGGGCGCCUGGACUUAGGAUCCAUUGGGGCAACCCGUCCGGGUUCGAGUCCCGGCUUUCGCA
Molecule: transfer RNA, 81 nt
Filed under: Gemmatimonadota bacterium
Lineage: Bacteria; Pseudomonadati; Gemmatimonadota
Description: tRNA-Leu
Source: RNAcentral